GGGGAAUAUUGCACAAUGGGGGAAACCCUGAUGCAGCGACGCCGCGUGAGUGAGGAAGUAUUUCGGUAUGUAAAGCUCUAUCAGCAGGGAAGAAGAAAUGACGGUACCUGACUAAGAAGCCCCGGCUAACUACGUGCCAGCAGCCGCGGUAAUACGUAGGGGGCAAGCGUUAUCCGGAUUUACUGGGUGUAAAGGGAGCGCAGGCGGCAUGAUAAGUCUGAUGUGAAAACCCAAGGCUCAACCAUGGGACUGCAUUGGAAACUGUCGUGCUGGAGUGUCGGAGAGGUAAGCGGAAUUCCUAGUGUAGCGGUGAAAUGCGUAGAUAUUAGGAGGAACACCAGUGGCGAAGGCGGCUUACUGGACGAUGACUGACGCUGAGGCUCGAAAGCGUGGGGAGCAAAC
This 402-nucleotide ribosomal RNA is filed under the name uncultured bacterium. Its description in RNAcentral is "bacterial SSU rRNA". It matches the Rfam family "Bacterial small subunit ribosomal RNA", at positions 356 to 773 of the family's 1533-position model. The record is from RNAcentral.